CAAUUUCAUGGGGACAGCCUUUCUACUUGCUUUACUUGGUGGAUUUUUGUCAGAUGCUUUUUUCUCCACAUACCGCAUCUAUUUGAUAAGUGCUACAAUAGAAUUCAUGGUAAGUUCAAAAAGCUGCUUCAUUCUGAUUCUUUCAUUACUGACACAUAUACUAGGAUCUAAUUGAAUUUUCUUUCUGUCACUGAAGCAAACACUUAGCAUACGCUAAUUCUCUAAAGAAAGCAACAUAAAUGUUAUAAGUAGCAAUAUGAUUACCAAACUGCACAGUAGCCAUAAUUGUUGCCGCUAUAAGGUGAUUCCGUCACAUCCCUUUUGAGGAUACUAUUAAGACCUAUACCAUAGACUAGUAGGUCUUGUUACUGGAAUAUCUCUGGGGUCCUUAAAGAAAGACAAGCCAUAAAAAAUGACUUGUCCGGAACCUAGAAAUGUGCCAAUCUUAAGCUUCAAUGUUCGUUAUAGCAGCCCCACCUGAUUAGCAUCAAAACCUACUACCGGUAUCGAUAAUUUUCAAUAAGGCUCGAGUUUCCCUUCAAUAAGGGAACCCAACCAGCCAGCCAAUAAGAGAAGAAAACAAUUAAGAAAUUGUGCUUGAUUGUCCAAUCAUAUUCCAGGCAACUGGCUAGGUCCCACGGAUUGUGCUAAAAUGAACUUUGUCUAGCAGAAGUUAAUUCUCUCUAUCACUGCCUUAUGGUCCACUUUCUAAUGACAAUGGCUUUUACUUAUAGU
This 735-nucleotide long non-coding RNA is filed under the name Jatropha curcas. Its description in RNAcentral is "long non-coding RNA (JCUR_LNC002175)". The record is from RNAcentral. Lineage: Eukaryota; Viridiplantae; Streptophyta; Magnoliopsida; Malpighiales; Euphorbiaceae.